This 803-nucleotide ribosomal RNA is filed under the name uncultured bacterium. Its description in RNAcentral is "bacterial SSU rRNA". It matches the Rfam family "Bacterial small subunit ribosomal RNA", at positions 8 to 796 of the family's 1533-position model. The record is from RNAcentral.
AGAGUUUGAUCCUGGCUCAGAACGAACGCUGGCGGCGGGCCUCAUACAUGCAAGUCGAGCGCGAAAGUCCGCAAGGAUGAGUAAAGCGGCGCACGGGUGAGUAACACGUGGAUAAUCUACCCCUUGGAUUGGAAUAACCUGUCGAAAGACGGGCUAAUGCCGAGUAAGCUCCCGAGAGCGUGAAGCUCUUGUGAGGAAAGAUGGCGCAAGCUAUCGCCGAGGGAUGAGUCUGCGUCCCAUUAGUUAGUUGGUGAGGUAACGGCUUACCAAGACAAUGAUGGGUACCUGGUCUGAGAGGAUGACCAGGCACACUGGAACUGAAACACGGUCCAGACUCCUACGGGAGGCAGCAGUAGGGGAUAUUGCGCAAUGGACGAAAGUCUGACGCAGCCACGCCGCGUGAGUGAGGAAGGCCUUCGGGUUGUAAAGCUCUGUCGCCUGGGAAAAACGACUAUCUGGGGAAAGUUCAGAUAGUGUGAUGGUACCAGGAAAGGAAGCACCGGCAAACUCUGUGCCAGCAGCCGCGGUAAUACAGAGGGUGCAAGCGUUGUUCGGAAUUACUGGGCGUAAAGCGUGCGUAGUCGGUAUUGAGAGUCACGGGUGAAAUCCCAGGGCUUAACCCUGGAACUGCCUGUGAGACCUCAGUACUAGAGUGUGAGAGGGGAUAGUGGAAUACCCAGUGUAGCGGUGAAAUGCGUAGAGAUUGGGUGGAACACCGGUGGCGAAGGCGGCUAUCUGGCUCACAACUGACGAUCAGGCACGAAAGCGUGGGGAGCAAACAGGAUUAGAUACCCUGGUAGUCC